CAGAGCCAGAUUCCACCGAGAGGGGCGUUCAUAUUAACCCCCUUGCGUCUGCAUCAGGUGUUGGACAAUGAUUUCAGGUCUUAGCCUGAACUUUUGAAUGAGAGGUGCCCCAUCAACUGGACUUCUCCUGAGUGUUGAAAAGGGCAUCUUUGUAACUAUAAUGACUCCAGAGAAGAUUUUGUUUUCAGUUGUAAAACAGGAAUGGGGG
Molecule: long non-coding RNA, 208 nt
Organism: Symphalangus syndactylus (siamang)
Lineage: Eukaryota; Metazoa; Chordata; Mammalia; Primates; Hylobatidae
Source: RefSeq, a predicted model, not a curated record